GCAUAUCAAUAAGCGGAGGAAAAGAAACAACUGUGAUUCCCUUAGUAAUGGCGAAUGAAACGGGAACAGGGCAUCGCGGAACUGCAGGUCAUCUUGGCNCGCGGAAUGUCGCGUUCGGGAGAGUCUUCUCGAGGACUGGACGGCCAGUCAAAGUCCAACUUGACUGUGGCCACUGCCCAUAGAGGGUGAUAGGCCCGUAAGNCGGCUGUCCGUUCUCGCUGACUUUUCCCUAGAGUCGGGUUGCUUGGGAGUGCAGCCCAAAGUGUGAGGUAAACUCCUCAUAACCCUAAAUAUGACCCCUAGACCGAUAGCAAACAAGUACGGUGACGGAAGAUUGAAAAGAACUUUGAAGAGAGAGUUCAAUAGUACGUGAAACUGUGUGGUGGUAAACGGAGGGGUUCUCGAAGUUUCUGUGGGGAACUCAGCCUUGGUGACGUGCGGCCCUGUUGUAUCUGACCAGCAAUGGCAGUAUAGCUUGUCUGGCAUGUCUCUCGGGUGCAUUUCCCCCGCAGUUUACGACAGGAACUGUUUGGAGCGCACCGAAGCCUCGGGUGAAGUUGUUGGUUCUGCCGGCAGCCCUGGGUGUCCUGGCUUCGCACCAGACAGGUACGUGAGAGGACUCGUAUAGCGAGCAAUGCUCUGUUGCGGUUCUCAUCUCUCUGUCGAGUAGGUCGGUGGCCCCUCCGACCCGUCUUGAAACACGGACC
Molecule: ribosomal RNA, 707 nt
Filed under: Calanoides carinatus
Lineage: Eukaryota; Metazoa; Arthropoda; Copepoda; Calanoida; Calanidae
Description: eukaryotic LSU rRNA
Rfam family: Eukaryotic large subunit ribosomal RNA
Source: RNAcentral